UAGGGAAUAUUGGACAAUGGGGGCAACCCUGAUCCAGCCAUGCCGCGUGAGUGAAGAAGGCCCUCGGGUUGUAAAGCUCUUUUGUCCGGAAAGAAAAGCAUUCGGUGAAUACCCGGAUGUUCUGACGGUACCGGAAGAAUAAGCACCGGCUAACUUCGUGCCAGCAGCCGCGGUAAUACGAAGGGUGCAAGCGUUACUCGGAAUUACUGGGCGUAAAGCGUGCGUAGGUGGUUGUUUAAGUCUGAUGUGAAAGCCCUGGGCUCAACCUGGGAAUGGCAUUGGAAACUGGGCAGCUAGAGUGCGGUAGAGGGUAGUGGAAUUCCCGGUGUAGCAGUGAAAUGCGUAGAGAUCGGGAGGAACAUCUGUGGCGAAGGCGACUGCCUGGACCAGCACUGACACUGGGGCACGAAAGCGUGGGGAGCAAAC
RNAcentral lists this ribosomal RNA (426 nucleotides) under uncultured bacterium. RNAcentral's name for it is "bacterial SSU rRNA". It matches the Rfam family "Bacterial small subunit ribosomal RNA", at positions 355 to 773 of the family's 1533-position model. The record is from RNAcentral.